GGGCGAAUGGUUUAGUGGUAUAAUACUCCCUUAGCAUGACGUCAACAUCUGGGAGUGGUCCAGGGUUCGAUUCCCUGUUCGUCCA
This 85-nucleotide transfer RNA is filed under the name Conoideocrella luteorostrata. RNAcentral describes it as "tRNA-Ala". It matches the Rfam family "tRNA". Rfam says of the family: Transfer RNA (tRNA) molecules are approximately 80 nucleotides in length. Their secondary structure includes four short double-helical elements and three loops (D, anti-codon, and T loops). The record is from RNAcentral. Lineage: Eukaryota; Fungi; Ascomycota; Sordariomycetes; Hypocreales; Clavicipitaceae.